AUCUGUUCUCGCCCUUUAUGGUGUGAUCACCUGUUGUAUCUUUUCUUCUCAGUGUAAUAUCUCCUACGUCCCCUAUCUGGGGACCAUAUAUAUAUAAUGGAUUUUUCAAACGGGGUGAGUAAAAAAGAGCUAGUGCUGUCCACUUUACGCAUUGACCUACUCUACUGUGGAUCGCCGGUGUGUGUGAC
Molecule: small nuclear RNA, 188 nt
Organism: Bufo bufo (common toad)
Lineage: Eukaryota; Metazoa; Chordata; Amphibia; Anura; Bufonidae
Product: U2 spliceosomal RNA
Exons: 1
Source: RefSeq, a predicted model, not a curated record